Molecule: small RNA, 70 nt
Rfam family: int-alpA RNA
About the family: Acidobacteria (1 example), Planctomycetes (1 example), Proteobacteria. Environment (Lake Washington)
GCUGCGCCUAUCUCGACGGAGAGAAAACCGGGAACCCUUGCCCGGCUGGCGCGGCACCCUGAACCAAGGG